Molecule: ribosomal RNA, 609 nt
Filed under: Triticum aestivum (bread wheat)
Lineage: Eukaryota; Viridiplantae; Streptophyta; Magnoliopsida; Poales; Poaceae
Description: partial small subunit ribosomal RNA
Source: RNAcentral
AUGGAGCGCCUUGCCACGGUGGACGUCGAUGACGGGGUUGUCGUUGACGGAGUUGACCUCGCGCUCGAUGGACUUGGUGGCAGACCGGAUGACCUCGAUCUGGGGGCCGAGCCACUGGGGCGACGUGCGGAGCGCGUACCUGUCUUGCUUGGGCUUGAGCUGCGUGUCAAUCUCGUUGACCUUCUUGGCGUGGCCCAUGAAGGCGCUGCCGGCCAGGAUGUGCUCCAUGAUGGCCGCGGCCUCGAUGGAGCCGGGGUGGUGCUUGAGCUUGUGGGUGAGGUGGUCGGUGAACUCGGGCUUGCCGUUCAUCACCUCGCAGAAGACGGCGGACAGGACCUCGGAGAGAACAGCAAGGACGUUGCAGUCGAACAGCACCGUGGCCGCAAGCGCAGAGCCCACGGACGUGCCGUUGACAAUGGCGAGACCCUCCUUGGGGUUGAGCUUGAAGAAGCCGCCCUCGAUGCCAGCGGCCUUGAAUGCCUCGGCGGCGUCCACAUUCUUCCCGUCAACAGUGGUGGCCUGCGCGUUGGGGCGUCCGGUGAUGAGACCGGCGAUGUAGGACAGCGGCACAAGGUCGCCGGAGGCGGUGAUGGUGCCCCGGAGCGGUAG